This 293-nucleotide ribosomal RNA is filed under the name uncultured bacterium. RNAcentral's name for it is "partial 16S ribosomal RNA". It matches the Rfam family "Bacterial small subunit ribosomal RNA", at positions 505 to 796 of the family's 1533-position model. The record is from RNAcentral.
GUGCCAGCAGCCGCGGUAAUACGUAGGGUGCGAGCGUUGUCCGGAAUUAUUGGGCGUAAAGAGCUCGUAGGCGGUGUGUCGCGUCGGCCGUGAAAACCUGGGGCUUAACUCUGGGCGUGCGGUCGAUACGGGCAUCACUAGAGUUCGGCAGGGGAGACUGGAAUUCCUGGUGUAGCGGUGAAAUGCGCAGAUAUCAGGAGGAACACCGGUGGCGAAGGCGGGUCUCUGGGCCGAUACUGACGCUGAGGAGCGAAAGCAUGGGUAGCGAACAGGAUUAGAAACCCCCGUAGUCC